Molecule: ribosomal RNA, 556 nt
Filed under: uncultured bacterium
Lineage: Bacteria
Description: bacterial SSU rRNA
Rfam family: Bacterial small subunit ribosomal RNA
Source: RNAcentral
AGGAAAUAGAUACCCCGGUAGUCCACGCCGUAAACUAUGGACGCUAGCUGUUAGAAGUAUCGACCCUUCUAGUAGCGAAAGCUAAACGCGUUAAGCGUCCCGCCUGUGGAGUACGAGCGCAAGCUUAAAACAUAAAGGAAUUGACGGGGACCCGCACAAGCGGUGGAGCGUGUUGUUUAAUUCGAUGCUAAGCGAAGAACCUUACCCAGGUUUGACAUCCUACUAAUUUCUCCGAAAGGAGAGAGUGCCUUCGGGCCGUAGUGACAGGUGUUGCAUGGCCGUCGUCAGCUCGUGUCGUGAGAUGUUUGGUUAAGUCCAUCAACGAGCGCAACCCUUUUGUUUAGUUGUAUUUCUCUAAACAGACUGCCCUGGCAACAGGGAGGAAGGAGGGGAUAAUGUCAGGUCAGUAUUACCCUUACGUCUGGGGCUACAAACACGCUACAAUGGACGGUACAAAGGGCAGCCAACCCGCGAGGGGAGCAAAUCCCAUCAAAACCGUUCUCAGUUCGGAUUGCAGGCUGAAACUCGCCUGCAUGAAGCUGGAAUCGCUAGUAAU